UCGCCUGUUUAUCAAAAACAUGGUUUCUUGAUGUAAUAUUUAAGAAAUUUAACCUGCCCACUGAAAAAUUUUUAAGGGCCGCAGUAUUUUGACUGUGCAAAGGUAGCAUAAUCAUUAGUCUUUUAAUUGAGGGCUAGAAUGAAUGGUUGGACGAAAUGAAUACUGUUUUAUAUUAAUUUGAUUGAAAUUAGUUUUUAAGUAAAAAAACUUAAAUAUUAUUAAGGGACGAGAAGACCCUAUAGAGUUUAAUAUAUAUAAUAAAUAAUUAAGUUAGAGUUUAAUUUUUAAUUAUUAUGAAAUUUAUUUGAUUGGGGUGAUAGAAAAAUAAAAUAAACUUUUUUUAAUAGUUAAUGAUAUAAUUAGUUAAAUAAUCCAAAUUUAAUGAUUAAAAGAUUAAAUUACCUUAGGGAUAACAGCAUAAUUCUUUUUAAGAGUUCAUAUUAAAAAAAGAGAUUAUGACCUCGAUGUUGGAUUAAGAUUAAUAUUGGGUGCAGAUGUUCAAAUAAUUAGGUCUGUUCGACCUUAAAAAUCUUACAUGAUCUGAGUUCAAACCGGAGA
This 558-nucleotide ribosomal RNA is filed under the name Stagmatoptera sp. MN117. RNAcentral's name for it is "partial 16S ribosomal RNA". It matches the Rfam family "Bacterial large subunit ribosomal RNA", at positions 1796 to 2622 of the family's 2925-position model. Lineage: Eukaryota; Metazoa; Arthropoda; Insecta; Mantodea; Mantidae. The record is from RNAcentral.